Molecule: transfer RNA, 72 nt
Filed under: Ictidomys tridecemlineatus (thirteen-lined ground squirrel)
Lineage: Eukaryota; Metazoa; Chordata; Mammalia; Rodentia; Sciuridae
Description: Spermophilus tridecemlineatus (thirteen-lined ground squirrel) tRNA
Rfam family: tRNA
About the family: Transfer RNA (tRNA) molecules are approximately 80 nucleotides in length. Their secondary structure includes four short double-helical elements and three loops (D, anti-codon, and T loops).
Source: Rfam by way of RNAcentral
UGGGUUGUAGUUCAGUGGUAGAGCACUUGCCUCACAUGUAUGAGGCACUGGGUCCAAUCCUCAGCACCACAU